RNAcentral lists this ribosomal RNA (571 nucleotides) under Arthropoda environmental sample. RNAcentral describes it as "SSU rRNA". It matches the Rfam family "Eukaryotic small subunit ribosomal RNA", at positions 15 to 565 of the family's 1831-position model. Lineage: Eukaryota; Metazoa; Arthropoda. The record is from RNAcentral.
UGCCAGUAGUCAUAUGCUUGUCUCAAAGAUUAAGCCAUGCAUGUCUCAGUACAAGCCAAAUUAAGGUGAAACCGCGAAAGGCUCAUUAUAUCAGUUAUGAUUCCUUAGAUCGUACCCACAUUUACUUGGAUAACUGUGGUAAUUCUAGAGCUAAUACAUGCAAACAGAGUUCCGACCAGAGAUGGAAGGAAUGCUUUUAUUAGAUCAAAACCAAUCGGUGUAAAUUUUAAUUUGCAUCGUUUAAUUUGGUGACUCUGAAUAACUUUAAGCUGAUCGCACGGUCUCGUACCGGCGACGCAUCUUUCAAAUGUCUGCCUUAUCAACUGUCGAUGGUAGGUUCUGCGCCUACCAUGGUUGUAACGGGUAACGGGGAAUCAGGGUUCGAUUCCGGAGAGGGAGCCUGAGAAACGGCUACCACAUCCAAGGAAGGCAGCAGGCGCGCAAAUUACCCACUCCCGGCACGGGGAGGUAGUGACGAAAAAUAACGAUACGGGACUCAUCCGAGGCCCCGUAAUCGGAAUGAGUACACUUUAAAUCCUUUAACGAGGAUCCAUUGGAGGACAAGUCUGGU